This 7191-nucleotide long non-coding RNA is filed under the name Nicotiana tabacum (common tobacco). RNAcentral describes it as "long non-coding RNA (NTAB_LNC011350)". The record is from RNAcentral. Lineage: Eukaryota; Viridiplantae; Streptophyta; Magnoliopsida; Solanales; Solanaceae.
UUUUUUUCUUUUUUUUUUCCUCUUAAUUUUUUUUUAUUAUCUCAGUAGCAGUAGAAUUUGGGUUUUUCAGUUGUAGUUAUUGCUUGAACCAGUAAUGAAACCCUUAUGGACAAUCUAGCUUGAAAUUUAUUCUCUUUUUUAAAGAGUGUUGACAUUCGAAGUAAGACCAUUAGAUGUUUUGCUUCUGGCUAAGAUUACUCAGUGUUAUAGUAAAAAGCUCCUUUAUUUAACGUUAAGUUUUUUCCAGAUUUCAAUUAGAAUUUAGUUCUGUUGUGUGAUGUUGAAAUUGAUUGACCCACAAAUUAAUAUAAUAUGGGAAUUGGGAGAGCAUAAAUGCAUUUUAUUCUGCAGAUUAUUCAGUCAGGGAACUUGCUAAUGUUUUUCUCACUUCUACAUUGAGGAAUAUCAAGACAGUACAUGGUCUUCAAUGAAUGCAUCUCUUUUACUUGCUAUGGUGAUAAAUUUAUUCUUCUCUAGCUCAUACUUUAGUAGUUUAGUUUUUCACUUUCCUUAAAAAAUGAAUCACUGCAGAUGAAAACUUCCUCUAGUAAUAUGUGUUGCAUCAUAUCAUUAUUGCAGAUGUGCACGUUUCUAAGAGUACUAGAUAUGGUGUAAUUUCAAACCCGCUAUCAGGUAAGUUGACUCAUUUUAUUAUAAAAACUAGCUUAUCUACGGCUCGCAUAAGUUUUUGAACUUAUUUUAUAUAUGCCUUCAAAUUUGAAUAUUUCUAGCAGACAAAGUUCAUUAGGCAGGUAAAUUAUUUAUAUGCUACUGAUGUUUUAUUUAUUUGGAAAAAGAAAAUGAACUCCAACUUUCUAUAUAAUAACUCGAGAUUGAGGGUGAAGAACAUGAGCCUUACAUCGAAGUAUCUCAAGUAUAAAUAUGGUGUACUACGUAGAUGAUGUUUUCAAUUAAGGAUAGAGUGCUUUUUGUAAACCUAAAGCCAAGAAAUUUGUAUGAUACAGAAGAAGUUGUGAAAGAUGAAAGUUAUGAGAAUGAGCUAUACUAAGAGUUAGGAUAUAACUAGCUACAGACCAUCUAAUUGAUGAUGUAGUCGAGGCAAAUACUGCUACUUAUUUAGCAACAAAUACAUACAAAUCCGAAUAAACUUUUUAUUUAUUAUGGUGUUUUAUCUAAAGGUAACAAUAUUGCAUCUUUAAGUAGUGCUUAUUUAUUUCGUCUAUAGGUAUGUUUAGAGAUGACAUUCAUAUUGGAUUUAAAGGUAUGUUCAGAAAUAGUAUUCACAUUUGAUUCACCUUAUUUUUUAUAUCUUGUAUUCGUAUGUGUUCCCCAUAAGAGGAUCUCUUACUGUGGAGUAAUUCUAUGGACAAACUUUGAUGAAGCCAACUUGAUUGAAUGCUAAUCUAUGCAUAUUUUGGUUUAACAGAUUGAUAUGCUGUUAUGAUGGCAUUGAGUGGUAAGUUAUGCUUGUUAACUUAUCUCCUAAAUCUUUUCACAUUUUUUUUCCAGGUCACAUUAAGUAACUAAGAGUCAUUUGGUAUAUAUUCUCUUGUAGUUUUUGCGGAUAAUACAGAUACUAGUGGAAUUCAUGCCUUAGAAAAAGUUUUGCGCGUUUUAAUUUGUUGCUUCUUUUGUUUGAAGUUGGAUCCAACAGAUUUUAACAUGCUUGGUUUGUUUAACUAACUACUCCUAUCAGACCACUCCUAUUUUAUUCAGUUCAUUUCUUCUACUUCAAUUUUCUAGUGUUAUUAGCCUUCAGUUUCGAUGCAAGUUUGUUAAUCAUUGGGAUAGAUUACAGCUUAUAAUUUAUUUGUUUGAUUCUAAUGUUAGAAAGCCUAUAGUGGUUAAUUUAUAUUUUAUUAGUUACAUUAUGAUUUUCGUGAAUAUAUGGCAAGAAUUUAUGCUAUCAAGUAAAAUAAUUUGUGGAUGUAAGUGUUGUGAUGAUAUCCAAGGAAAUAACUUUGUACUUUAGCUCUUAUUCAUGUGAGUAUCUAACAACUUCAGUUCAAUGCUAUUGUUAGAUCAAGUAACAGAUUUACUUGUAAGAAGAAUCAGACCUUUCGUUUAUUUAUAUACCAAGAUCUUCCUUUUAGCUUGUUGGCAAAAUUUUAUUCCUUUAAAAGUUUUUGAUCAAAAUUCUCUGUUUCAGCAUGUGAUAUGUAGAGUGAGCCUGCUUCAUUCGGUGGAUGUGAGAAUAUGAUUAGGUGACAACAAUACAAAUCACCAAGCAAAUAUUUAGCACAUCUGCAUAUUUACUUAUUAUGGACAGCUGUAGAAUGUAUAAUGUUUAAAUUAUCAAAUGUGUUUUUAUAACUUUAGUGUGAUAUGAAUUUGAAUGUGUUGAUUUUUGUUACUAUAGAUAUUCUUAAUGGAAUGGAUUUAUGUUGUAUGACUUAUUGAGUUUAUUUAUUGAAUCCUUAAUUUAAAAUUUUUCACUAUUGUGGCAGUUAUAAGCUGCCACUGAUUAUUUUUUUAAAAGAUUGAGAUCAAAUUGUGGGGGUUUAUAACCCUCUCACAUUAUUUUUUAAAAACUAUUGAGAUCAUAUUUUGGGUGUUAUAAACCGUCGCUAAUUGCCUUUAAAAAUUGUCACAAAUUAAAAAUUUAUAUUGUGGCGGUCAUUGUGGAGGUUUUACAAAAUUGCCACAGAAAUGCUCGUGACGAAGGUAAUUGUGACGUUUUUUGAAACCGCUACAAUUCAUUUUGUUGGGGUCAAAAACCGCCACAAAACUUAAAAAUACCCCCCCCCCCCCACACAAAAUGAGCCUUUUCUUGUUUAUUUAGACCUUCUUCAACCUCUCACCUUAAUGCAUAAUAUAUGGACUUCCAAAUAGAGUUUAGUAGCUUUUACAAACUCAAACAAUAAGCUCUAUGUGUGUGGGUGUUUUCUUAGACUAUCUUUACAUGAUUCUCUCUUUUCUUUCUUACUAUUAUCUUUUCCUAUUACUAACUUUUACAUUUUGUUGGUUAAAAUGUGGACCUUGAAAGUUGGGAAACUACUGAACUAAUUUAAGAAAAAACCUUAUUGAGAUACAAAUUAAAAGGGAUAUCUUUUUCCUUUCAAUUUUAGGAGGUGCGUUAAAAGUUACAUAGGAGUUUGGUUACUUAAAAUAAUCAUUUCAUCUUAGAUUUUAAUUCAUAUAAUUUUAUACGAAGUUUACACAGGAGAUUACGACCGAUCCAUUGGAGAGCUUUGGAAAUAUAUUUCAAAUAUAUUUAAAUCAGUCUAAAGUUAUGGAACACAACCUUUAAAUUAUAAAAAAUUAAGUAUGAAUAUUUACUCGCAUUAAGGGGUAAAAAAAGACUUUGCUAAAGAAAUUCCCUAUUUCUAUGAAUUCCAAAAUAUCCACAAUUAAGUAAAUCCUUACUUUUUUACUAAUCAUAAAUAUUCUGGAGCCACUUAUUGUCCACCAAAUUUUGCUCUUCUUAUGGAGCAAACAAUACACUUAAAUUUAAAGAAAUCAAGUUUCAGCACAUGGCUUCAAAUGCCAAAACUUCGCAACCAUUCAUGAAGUUUUACACGCUAGAGGUUACAAGUUUAAUAAAUCUCAACCAACCAUUAAUUUCUUCUUGAACCAAUUUUAUCAGGAAAAGCAACAAAUCUCAGCUUUCAAUCUCUUUCACUAGUGAAAAGCACUACUUAGUUGUUAUUUUCUUUAGUAAUUAAAGAUGAGAUUAUGGCUUAAAUAUAGUUUGGUAUUCUAGCAGGGAAUUGAAGAAACAUAGCUAAAGUGCUGUAAAUUUCCAUGCGGAUUUCAGCGUUUGGAAUGAUUGAAAGGCAGCGCAGGACUUCUUGGAUUAAAAGCACUAUUGGAUUCUUUCUUAUUCUUAUAUCUAUUACUAUUGUAGCACUAACAAUUGAAUGGAACGACAUUGUAAGUACAUGCUUGCUCUGUCUCUCUUAACAACUUUUCUAAAAUGUUUGCUCAAGUGUCAUAAUCCGACCCCAACUUUGUUUGGGACUGAAGCCUAGUUGUUGUUAUUGUCAUAAUCUGACACUGGAAUUUACAUUCCAAUCAUUUGUACUUUCUAAACAAUUUAUACAAAAAAUAGUUUUCUGACUUAAUUACAUGAUAAAAUUCAGUGAUGAUAUGCGAUAUUAAUCUUUUUCUCAUGUAUAGCGACAUUUUCCUUUUUUAGUCUCUCCAUACAGAUUCCUUGCAGAAGAAUAAAGUUGAUCUUUUCCCUGAAGUUUCUUGCUCAAUAAAGUGUCCACGAACUUCACCAAACAAACCUAAAUUCAGUUCAUCAUCCGAAUCAUGCCCUGAAUACUUUCGAUGGAUUCAUGAAGAUUUAAGGCCAUGGAAGGACACAGGGAUAACGCGAAAAAUGGUAGAAAGAGCUCGAGAAGUAGCCCAUUUUAGAAUAGUCAUAGUAAAUGGAAGAGUGUAUUUUGAGAAGUAUAAACCAACUUUCCAAAAAAGGGACAUGGUCACAUUGUGGGGGGUAUUGCAACUUCUUAGUUUUUAUCCUGGCAUGCUACCGGAUUUAGAUUUUGUUUUCGAAUGUGGCGAUCAACCAGUGACACAAAAAAGUGAUUAUGGAAAAUCAAAGGAUUCAAUUCCACCACCAUUGUUUCAUUACUGUGGAAAUGACUCGAGUUUUGACAUUGUUUUCCCUGAUUGGUCCUUUUGGGGUUGGUAAACAUUCUUAUCUUUUCAAGUUCAAGCCAAUGUUAAGUUGAAAUAUUUACUAGUAGCAUUUUGGGUGGUUGUAUUAGAAAUGGUUCUUUAUUUUGGUACUACUGCAGGCCAGAAGUCAACAUAAAGCAUUGGGAUAUCUUGAAAAAAGAUUUGCAGCAAAGCAAUGAGAUGAUUAAGUGGACAGAAAGGGAGCCUUAUGCUUAUUGGAAAGGGAAUGUAUUAUUAAGCCAAUCAAGACGUGACCUUUUGAAGUGCAAUGCCUCUAAGAAUCAGGACUGGAACGCGCGAAUUUAUGACAUGGUAAGUCUCAACCUUCAGUUUCUUCACACUUAGGUGCUGUGGGAUCCCUUAAUAGAUGCAAACACUAGGUUCACAAUAAAAGGGUUGCCCCGUGCACAAAGAUGUGCUAAGUGCGGGGUCCAGGGAAGGGCCAGACUACAUUGAGGCUAUUGUACGCAGUCUUACCUUGCAUUUCAGCAAGAAGUUGUUUCCAUGGAGACAAGUCUUACUUCGCAAACUUUAGGUUCACAAUGCUGAAAAUUUAAACACCAUUUCAUAAUUUGCAAUUUUUGAUAUGCUGAUAUUAGCCCUUUUCAGCAAUGGGCUCGUGAACGAAGACAAGGCUAUAAAACUUCAGAUUUAGCUACACAGUGCACUCAUAGGUAUGCAGUCAAUCUCAGAAUACCUUCAAACUAGACCUUUUUCUCUGAAUCUUUCGUAUCUUCUAACCUCUUAAUUGUUCUUUAAUCAUUUUUGUUUGACCAAUUUUUUCUUGGAAUUAUGAUGAGACAGAUACAAGAUUUAUGUUGAAGGGCUUGCAUGGUCAGUGAGUCAAAAGUACAUUCUAGCCUGUGAUUCUGUGGCUCUUCUCAUAAAUCCCCACUAUUAUGAUUUCUUCACAAGGAGUUUGCUGCCAACAAUCCAUUACUGGCCAAUAAAUGAGAAUGACAAAUGCAAAUCCAUCAAGUUUGCAGUAGACUGGGGCAAUAAGAAUGCAGAAAAGGUAACAUUCUAUGUAUAUGACAAUACUAAUUAAUCUUCUGCUACCUUAAUCGUUUUAUAAAUUUAAUGUUUGAGCACCAAUGACCCUCAACAGGCACAAGAAAUUGGAAAAUCAGGGAGCAAAUUUGUACAUGAGGAGCUACAAAUGAAGUACAUUUACGACUACAUGUUUCAUCUCUUGUCCGAAUAUGCCAAGCUUUUGCAGUAUCGACCCACUGUGCCUAGAGAAGCAGUUGAAGUAUGCUCAGACACAUUGAUUUGCUCGACGAAAGGAAUAAGAAAGAAGUCUAGGGUACAUUCCAGGGUUAAUUAUGCUUCAUCUUCAAAACCAUGUAGCAUGCCCCCUCCCUGGAGCCCUGUGGAUCUCCAAGAUUUUCUCGAGAGAAAAGAGAAUCUCACAAAGCAAGUUGAACAGUGGGAAGAAACUCAAAGUGUUUGAAACUUUCCACAUCAGGGACGUAGUAUUUGCUUAACCUAUCUUUCUUUCAAUUUUGCCUAAAUUCACAAGUGAGAAAAGAAGACACUUUUGAAUCACUGUAUAUCAGUUUCCAUGAGAUAUAUCUGGCAGAAAAUUAUUGUUCUUUAUCAUGUCAAUCUAUAUAGAAAAAUGCUCAUUUGUUCCACUUCCAUAGAUAUUGUGCAAUCAACUUUCAUUUAGUUGAAGGAUUACUAAACAUUGGAUUAAAUUUCUAUAGUGAAGCAUCUGGAACUAUAUUGAUCCUUCUAUGAAGUAUUCCCUAGUCCGAGAGAAAAUUGCAAAAGAAACAUUCCUCAGUAUAUUUGAUAAAUUUAUAAAAUUAUUUCUCUUAAUCCGAGUUUUAAGGAUUAAGUGGAGUUGAGAAAAGUUCCAGUAAGUUCAUCAAAUCAACCUUCUGUUUAUUUGAUUUUGAUAUAACAAUCAUAGGUUUGCUUUUCGAUCUGUAUAUAAAUACUGUAUCUCCUUCUGCAAUACACAGCAGAUAAAAUAUGUUGGAGUGGAAUUUUUAAAAGAAACUAAUACUCUCCUCCCUGGUUUCCAAAUUCUUUACUUAAUCAAGAAAGAAACUUUCUUAUGAUUAGGAUCAAACCUAAAUAACCUGAACUUGGUUUAGUCAAGUCCUGGACUUGGCACUAUUUUCUUGACAAUGUAAAAGGACUUUUGAUCUUCUAAUCGUGGAUACUUGAUAUCUUCCGAAACAGGAUCAAGGUGAAAAAAAGGGGGUCAUUAGCUUAAUAAUCUAAUGGAAAUUCUUUUCUGGAUUACAUUUUUUAGACUUAAAUAUUUGACAGCAUGCAAAAACGACGAUCAAAUGAACAAGGGGAAAGGAAAGAGCAAAACAGGAACGAGAAUUGAAUUGAAUUGAAUAUAAUUAGAAAUUAGGAUCCCAUCACUUUGCCACACAUGAUCGUGUUUAUAGUAUAUUACAGACAAAAAUCACAAAGAAAAAAUAUACUGAACGUCUUAGACAAGAACGUAUAAACGAACAAAAAAUUCCACAACCCCCCCCCCCCCCCAAAAUUAGAAAGGGCAUAUAGCAUAUGCUUGUAGUAGUGACUGAAUAAAAAGGCCCGACAGUAUAUGUAGAGGGGAAAUUAAAGACAAAUUUC